This 253-nucleotide ribosomal RNA is filed under the name uncultured bacterium. Its description in RNAcentral is "partial 16S ribosomal RNA". It matches the Rfam family "Bacterial small subunit ribosomal RNA", at positions 524 to 776 of the family's 1533-position model. The record is from RNAcentral.
UACGUAGGGGGCAAGCGUUGUCCGGAAUUAUUGGGCGUAAAGGGCUCGUAGGCGGUUUGUCGCGUCGGGAGUGAAAACACCGGGCUUAACUCGGUGCUUGCUUUCGAUACGGGCAGACUUGAGGCAUUCAGGGGAGAACGGAAUUCCUGGUGUAGCGGUGAAAUGCGCAGAUAUCAGGAGGAACACCGGUGGCGAAGGCGGUUCUCUGGGAAUGUUCUGACGCUGAGGAGCGAAAGUGUGGGGAGCGAACAGG